RNAcentral lists this ribosomal RNA (427 nucleotides) under uncultured bacterium. RNAcentral describes it as "bacterial SSU rRNA". It matches the Rfam family "Bacterial small subunit ribosomal RNA", at positions 355 to 774 of the family's 1533-position model. The record is from RNAcentral.
UGGGGAAUCUUCCGCAAUGGGCGCAAGCCUGACGGAGCAACGCCGCGUGAGUGAAGAAGGUCUUCGGAUCGUAAAGCUCUGUUGAUGGGGACGAACGUGCCUAAUGCGAAUAGUUUUAGGCAAUGACGGUACCCAUCGAGGAAGCCACGGCUAACUACGUGCCAGCAGCCGCGGUAAUACGUAGGUGGCGAGCGUUGUCCGGAAUCAUUGGGCGUAAAGGGAGCGCAGGCGGGCAUGUAAGUCUUUCUUAAAAGUGCGGGGCUCAACCCCGUGAUGGGAAAGAAACUAUGUGUCUUGAGUACAGGAGAGGAAAGCGGAAUUCCCAGUGUAGCGGUGAAAUGCGUAGAUAUUGGGAGGAACACCAGUGGCGAAGGCGGCUUUCUGGACUGCAACUGACGCUGAGGCUCGAAAGCCAGGGGAGCGAACG